GAUUCUGGCUCAGGAUGAACGCUAGCGACAGGCUUAACACAUGCAAGUCGAGGGGCAGCACGGGAGUAGCAAUACAACUGGUGGCGACCGGCGCACGGGUGAGUAACGCGUAUGCAACCUACCUAUCAGAGGGGAAUAACCCGGCGAAAGUCGGACUAAUACCGCAUAAAACAGGGGCACCGCAUGGUGAUAUUUGUUAAAGAGAUUCGCUGAUAGAUGGGCAUGCGUUCCAUUAGGUAGUUGGUGAGGUAACGGCUCACCAAGCCGACGAUGGAUAGGGGAACUGAGAGGUUGGUCCCCCACACUGGUACUGAGACACGGACCAGACUCCUACGGGAGGCAGCAGUGAGGAAUAUUGGUCAAUGGGCGGGAGCCUGAACCAGCCAAGUCGCGUGAAGGAAGAAGGAUCUAUGGUUCGUAAACUUCUUUUGCAGGGGAAUAAAGUGCAGGACGUGUCCUGUUUUGUAUGUACCCUGAGAAUAAGGAUCGGCUAACUCCGUGCCAGCCGCGGC
Molecule: ribosomal RNA, 512 nt
Filed under: uncultured bacterium
Lineage: Bacteria
Description: bacterial SSU rRNA
Rfam family: Bacterial small subunit ribosomal RNA
Source: RNAcentral